This is a long non-coding RNA of Halichondria panicea, 743 nucleotides long. RefSeq lists it as uncharacterized. Lineage: Eukaryota; Metazoa; Porifera; Demospongiae; Suberitida; Halichondriidae. The record is from RefSeq and is a predicted model, not a curated record. The transcript is spliced from 3 exons.
UGGGGGUGGGGCUCGUUGUGCUGAACGCCAAAAAUGCAACCUGGUUGUGAGUGUGUUCCCAACUGACGCAAUGUUCAAGCCAUCCGCCUCUGCCAUCAAGAGUACUGAAGGAUGCUCUCUGUUGGACGUGUAGAAUAUUUAAGUGUAGCCUGUAGGGUGUGAAGUAUGAAAUUCAGAACAUCUCAGAAUGCCAUGCCAAACAAAGCAUGAGAUGUUCUGAAUUUCAUAUUUAACACCCAAACACAACCAUGUUAGUCUGUAGCCUUCAAAUAAACAUCUUUCUGUAAGCUACUAUUGCUUUUUACUUGUGCAGGAGCUGAAGUUGGGUGUUGUUGGGUCAGAGAUAGCUAGUGGGACUAGUACCUCUCAAGCCCAUUUUGAUGGCAGCUGAUUUAAAUAUUACACAUACUGGGUCUCAACUUCAUACCUGAGUUCAAGCCUCAGGAAAAAUUAUUGAGUAUCGUGUUGGGAGCAAUGCAGAUGGUCCUUUGGCCAGUGGUAGUGUGCGCUCAUUUGUGGAACAGCUGACAGAGAGAACGUCAGCACCAGGAGGGGGCUCUACUUCAGCCUACAUUACUAGUAUGGGAGCAGCAUUGGGUUUGCAAGAUAUGGAAGCGUUUCAUUCUGACCAGUAUUUGCUCAUGACUCCGUAACAUUGUAGUAUUAUAUGAACCAUAAGCCAUGCCAAAACGUGUGUUGCUUAAUAGGUAUCACUUGUUUCUGUUUUGUUACAGGAUUUCCCC